UUGACCUCGGAUCAGGUAGGGAUACCCGCUGAACUUAAGCAUAUCAAUAAGCGGAGGAAAU
RNAcentral lists this ribosomal RNA (61 nucleotides) under Bipolaris maydis (southern corn leaf blight pathogen). RNAcentral's name for it is "partial 28S ribosomal RNA". It matches the Rfam family "Eukaryotic large subunit ribosomal RNA", at positions 1 to 60 of the family's 3401-position model. The record is from RNAcentral. Lineage: Eukaryota; Fungi; Ascomycota; Dothideomycetes; Pleosporales; Pleosporaceae. RNAcentral also lists the same sequence under 3 other names.